GAAGGUUGAGAGAGACGCGAUUGAGUGAGCGGGAGCGGUAGAGAACGACGAGAUUGAGUGAGUUUGUAGUCGAGAGUGACGAGAGGAUGGAGGAUGAAAGUGAGGACGAUGAGGGAUUUUCUCGUUACUGUACCUCACAUCUUCUCAUUUUAUUUUUAUUUUUAUUUAUUUAAGAAAAACAAACGUUUAAACCAUAAAGAUUUUACGUUUAGUCUUCCUGUUUCCUUUAUUUAAUAAUGUAUAUUAAUGUAUUUU
RNAcentral lists this long non-coding RNA (255 nucleotides) under Lathyrus oleraceus (garden pea). RNAcentral describes it as "Pisum sativum (pea) long non-coding RNA (PSAT_LNC032076)". The record is from RNAcentral. Lineage: Eukaryota; Viridiplantae; Streptophyta; Magnoliopsida; Fabales; Fabaceae.